GGUUUGGUAGUUCAGUUGGCGGAACGUUUGCUUUACACGCAAAAGGUCGUCGGUUCAAGGCCGGCCCAAAUCA
RNAcentral lists this transfer RNA (73 nucleotides) under Sphaerobolus stellatus SS14. RNAcentral describes it as "tRNA-Val (TAC) (tRNA-Val-TAC-3-1)". It matches the Rfam family "tRNA". Rfam says of the family: Transfer RNA (tRNA) molecules are approximately 80 nucleotides in length. Their secondary structure includes four short double-helical elements and three loops (D, anti-codon, and T loops). The record is from RNAcentral. Lineage: Eukaryota; Fungi; Basidiomycota; Agaricomycetes; Geastrales; Sphaerobolaceae.